This 277-nucleotide small nuclear RNA is filed under the name Nannospalax galili (Upper Galilee mountains blind mole rat). RNAcentral describes it as "7SK RNA (ENSNGAG00000007711.1)". It matches the Rfam family "7SK RNA". Rfam says of the family: 7SK was discovered as an abundant small nuclear RNA in the mid-70s but a possible function has only recently been suggested. Two independent studies have found that 7SK RNA binds the CDK9/cyclin T complex (known as elongation factor P-TEFb). P-TEFb activates transcription by phosphorylating the C-terminal domain of RNA polymerase II. Lineage: Eukaryota; Metazoa; Chordata; Mammalia; Rodentia; Spalacidae. The record is from RNAcentral.
GAAGGUAAUCUGAUGACACUGUUCACUCCAGUGAUCACCGGAGUCCACCCAGCUGAUCUGGGUGGGCGAUCCCCACCUCCCUCCACUCCACGUGUCACUCUCACAGUAGCCAUGCUGGAUCAAGGAACUUCCCAGAUAAGGAGAGGAAGGCCCUUCUUUUGUCAAGGGUGUACCGGCAGCUCAGUUCUCCUAUUAGAACAUCCAAAUAAGCUCUCAAAAAUCUGAGAAAGAGGGGCUGGAGAGAUGGCUCAGCGGUUAAGAGCACUGGUUGUUCUUG